UCCGUAGCUGGAUUGUUAAGUCUCUUGGGAAAUCUACCGGCUUAACCGAUAGGCGUUCAAGGGAUACUGGCAAUCUAGGGACCGGAAGAGGUGAGAGGUACUCCAGGGGUAGGAGUGAAAUCCUGUAAUCCUUGGGGGACCACCUGUGGCGAAGGCGUCUCACCAGAACGGCUCCGACAGUGAGGGACGAAAGCUGGGGGAGCAAACC
This 208-nucleotide ribosomal RNA is filed under the name uncultured euryarchaeote. Its description in RNAcentral is "partial 16S ribosomal RNA". It matches the Rfam family "Archaeal small subunit ribosomal RNA", at positions 518 to 725 of the family's 1478-position model. The record is from RNAcentral. Lineage: Archaea; Methanobacteriati; Methanobacteriota.